This 506-nucleotide long non-coding RNA is filed under the name Heterocephalus glaber (naked mole-rat). Its description in RNAcentral is "lncRNA (ENSHGLG00000037548.1)". Lineage: Eukaryota; Metazoa; Chordata; Mammalia; Rodentia; Bathyergidae. The record is from RNAcentral.
ACUUAAUUUGUCUAUCAGGGCCCUCCAUGAAGCCACCCUUUUUCUGUGGAAAAUCUCCUAUCUCCAUAGUCUCCAUGGCCCCAAUUGUCAAGGGAGAUGAUUCUACUCUUGUUGGCUGGAGGUUGAAACAAAGCCAAGGAGAAUCUCUUUAGGCCAAGAGACUUGGCUAAGCAAGAGGAGCUGAUGGGGCACAACACUGAAGUAGGACAGGAUUUGAAGAGCACUUCACCUGUGUGAUUUUUUUUCCCCCAAGAAAACCUAUGACCUCAAUCUAAUUAUGAGAACUACCUCAGGCAAACUGAAACUGAGAGAUGUUCUACAAAAUACCUGACCAGUACUCCCUCAAAACUGUCAAGGUCAUCAAAAACAAGAUUGAAGAAUUGCCACAGACCGGAGGAGACUCAGGAAGUUGACAACCAACUGCAAUGUGGCAUUCUGGAUUGGAUCCAGGAACAAAAAGAAGAAAAGCUGAUGAAAUCCAAAUAAAGACUCGAGUUUAGUUAGAA